GCGACCCCAGGUCAGGCGGGACUACCCGCUGAGGGGAAGCAUAUCAAUA
Molecule: ribosomal RNA, 49 nt
Filed under: Macaranga quadriglandulosa
Lineage: Eukaryota; Viridiplantae; Streptophyta; Magnoliopsida; Malpighiales; Euphorbiaceae
Description: partial 28S ribosomal RNA
Source: RNAcentral